RNA transcript from Sapajus apella (tufted capuchin), 2148 nucleotides. It is a transcript of the gene named phosphate carrier protein, mitochondrial pseudogene, with no coding region annotated. The transcript has a single exon. The record is from RefSeq and is a predicted model, not a curated record. NCBI's taxonomy places the organism in Eukaryota, Metazoa, Chordata, Mammalia, Primates, Cebidae.
CCUCAUUUCAUAGGUGAUGUAGGUAGAAGAAUGUUAACAAUGUAAUAAUUCUUACAUGUUAUGUUUCUACUAUAAAACUGGGCAUCAUUUUUCUGGGGCCUCUGCCAUUAGCUGAUUGUGGGAAAUGCAAAGGAAGACUACAGAUAGGAAGGAAUCUGUAACCACUAUAACCACAGUUAUCCCAACUGUCCUGGAAUCAGAGUACUCAUGGAUAGAUUAGCACUGGACCUUCUUACUCAUCGGGACACUCCUAUAUCAGGAAUAGUGUGAAAAAAAAAAAAAGAGUACAAAGAUGGGAGAAAUUUUGCAGUGGAGAUGCACCACAAGGAGACAAUUAAGAAUGCUUUAGCUGCUCAGGCAACAUCUUCUAAAAUAAGAAAUAAGGUAAUCUGCUAAGUGUUUAGGGAUUUGGCUGAGGACUUAAAGACAAUGCAAACAUAUACAAGUAAUAAAAAGUAAACAAAUAAUAAAAAGUCAGAGUAAAAAGUCAGUAAUACUGAAAAAUGUCUGAAUGAACUAUAUAUGUCGCCUUUGAAUUUCUGGCUACACUGGGUGAAAAUUGUCUCCUUUUUAUCCUCCUCUUGGCAUCCCCAUUUCCACUUAUCUAAAAAUUUUGGUCCUUCUAUGAAGAAAAUUAUAAAACAUUUAUUGAGGGACUCCUAAAGAAGAUUUAAAGUGAAGAAAUAUGUCAUAUGCUCAUAGAUUGUAAGAUGCAAUACUAUAAAAAUGUCAAUUCUGCCUAAAUUGGCCUAUAGAUUAAAUGCAAUCUCAAUUAAAUCUCAACGUAUUUUCCUGUGGAACUUGACAAGCUGAUUCUAAAUCCAAUGCAGAAAUACAAAAUAUCACCCUGUGAGCCACAAACUUUCCAAGGGAGUGGCUUGGUGUUCACCAUCUUAGGGAGAAGUUCUCAUCCAUGGCACACCUGGCAUGGGUUAACUCCUUCAAUGCACCACACCUGCAGUUGGUGGACGAUGGCCUCACGGACCUCCAUAGCAGCACCACAAGACCCAUAGGCCUGCCCCACUGCUCUCUUAACCUGGCAGCUGCUGCCUUGGAAAAGUAUAGUUGUGAAUAUGGCUCCACAAAGUAUUAUGCACCGUGUGGCUCUGGUGAGGUCUUAGGUUGUAGUCUGACACACACGGCCGUCAUUCUCCUGGGGUUUAGAGAAAUGCCAUAUGCAGGUAGACCCCCAAAAGUACAAGGGCAUAUUAAAUGGAUUCUCAGUUGCACUAAGGACGAUGGUGUUCACUGUUUGGCUAAAGGUUGGACUCUGACUUUCAUUGGUCACUCCAUGCUGGACUCUGCAAGUUUGGCUUUUAUGAAGUCUUUAAAGUCUUGUAUAGCAAUAUGCUCCCAGAACAUGUUAUCUCUGGCGCAUAUCACUAUAUUUGGCUACCUCUGCCAGUGCUAAAUUCUUUGCUGUAAUUGCCUUAUGGAAGCUGCUAAGGUUCAAAUUCAAACCCAACCAGGUUACACCAACACUUUGAGGGAUGCAGCUCCCAAAAUGUAUAAGGAAGAAGGCCUAACAACAUGCUACAAAGGGAUUACUCCUCUCCGGAUGAGGAAGUAUAUACCAUGAUGAAGUCUGUCUGCUUUGAAGGUACUGUUGAAGCAUCAUACAAGUUUGUGGUUCCUAAGCCCCCACAGUGAAUGUUCAAAGGCAGAGGAGCUGGUUGUAACAGUUAUAGCAGGUUAUAUACCUGGAGUGUUUUCUGCAAUUGUUUCUCACCCUGCUGAUUCUGUGGUAUCUGUGUUGAAUAAAGAAACAGGUAGCAGUGCUUCUCGGGUCCUCCAGACACUUGGCUUUAAAGGUGUAUGGAAGGGACUGUUUGCUUGUAUCGUUAUGACUGGUACUCUGACUGCACUAUAGUAGUUUAUGUAUGAUUCUGUGAAGGCCUGCUUCAGGCUCCCUUGCCCUCCCCCACCCAAGAUGCCAGAAUCUCUGAAGAAGCAAUUCAGGUUAACUCAGUAGCUAGAUCAAAGCAAAUGUGGACUGACUCUGCUUGUUGAUCAGUGUUGAAGAAAGUACAAAAGGAGCUUUUAUACAUUUGACAGUGUAGGAAAUUGUCUAUUCCUGACAUAAUUACUAUAGUACUUUUGCUUAAGGCAAGGGUUUCAAAUUUACCAUUGAAAUAAACCCAACUCUUC